CAGGUAGGUGUCUUAAAAAGUAGAGGGUGAAAUCCUUCGGCUAAACCGAAGAACUGCCUUCUAAACUUUUAGGAUUGAGUAUGAGAGAGGAAAGCGGAACUCUCGGUGUAAGGGUGAAAUCUGUAGAGAUCGAGAGGAACACCAGUAGCGAAGGCGGCUUUCUGGACCAUUACUGACACUGAGCUGCGAAAGCUAGGGUAGCAAACA
This 207-nucleotide ribosomal RNA is filed under the name uncultured bacterium. Its description in RNAcentral is "partial 16S ribosomal RNA". It matches the Rfam family "Bacterial small subunit ribosomal RNA", at positions 568 to 774 of the family's 1533-position model. The record is from RNAcentral.